Molecule: ribosomal RNA, 26 nt
Filed under: Botryococcus braunii
Lineage: Eukaryota; Viridiplantae; Chlorophyta; Trebouxiophyceae
Description: partial 28S ribosomal RNA
Source: RNAcentral
AUUCGACCUGAGCUCAGGUAAGAGCA